This 26-nucleotide small RNA is filed under the name Bombyx mori (domestic silkworm). RNAcentral's name for it is "ovarian small RNA-20790". Lineage: Eukaryota; Metazoa; Arthropoda; Insecta; Lepidoptera; Bombycidae. The record is from RNAcentral.
UACCGUUGCACUGUGGGUGGUAUGGU